RNAcentral lists this ribosomal RNA (305 nucleotides) under uncultured bacterium. Its description in RNAcentral is "bacterial SSU rRNA". It matches the Rfam family "Bacterial small subunit ribosomal RNA", at positions 333 to 655 of the family's 1533-position model. The record is from RNAcentral.
UUUGUCCUACGGGAGGCAGCAGUGGGGGAUAUUGCACAAUGGGGGAAACCCUGAUGCAGCGACGCCGCGUGGGUGAAGAAGCACCUCGGCGCGUAAAGCCCUGUCAGCAGGGAAGAAAAUGACGGUACCUGAAGAAGAAGCCCCGGCUAACUACGUGCCAGCAGCCGCGGUAAUACGUAGGGGGCAAGCGUUAUCCGGAUUUACUGGGUGUAAAAGGGGCGCAGACGGCGAUGCAAGCCAGGAGUGAAAGCCCGGGGCACAACCCCGGGACUGCUCUUGGAACUGCGUGGCUGGAGUGCAGGAGG